CGCUCAUACUGCUUUUCAUCAGGCCAUCAGACAUAUUCAGUUUUUAUGUCCUGGGAUUGAGAUUACUUUGGCUAAAAUGGGCAUGAAAAAGAAUAUCAUGGACGGGGAAAUAGUCAGUGACGACGAGGAGGCGACUGAAGGAGUGGAUACCAAGGAUGAAGCAGAGAAGUCUAAUGGGGGCGUAUGUUGUCCAUGAUUAUUUUUUAUUCUUUUGAAAAUUGUAAUAUUUGGAUUAUGUUACUAGCCUCUUGGUCUUAUGUAUUAAAAGUUACUUUCUUGACAUUCUUAUUUUAAUUCCCCACCUUUGUUUUGUUGCCUCAAUGUCUUCUUUCUUGUCCCUUUAUUGCUCUGUUCGUAUUUUGUAUGAUUUUUGACGUUGUCAAGGACCCUUCUCGGACAAGGAUUGAAUCCUCUUGUCUUCCCCUAGGUCUUGGCCUAGUUUGGUUUCAACGUUUUUAAGGCUUUAUCGCCUACGACCUUAGAGUGGCUAGCUCCAAAGGGGGGGAGGGGUACCACUUAUGAUGCAACGGUUGGCCUUUGUUUUCCUUAUUUAUGCUAAAACGAUAAUUUAAAAGCAUCUUACAAAUAGUAUCAUAUUCAUUAAAAAGUCAAAUAGAUGUAAGAAGUUACAUUUUUCUUUGUGGAGUGACUGCAUGUUACUUAAAUGUUACACUUCUUGAGCUUCUUAGCAUUCCAUGUCCAAGGUAUUGGUUCUCCGGCUAGUGUCUCCAAGUUGUAUGCUUCUUUCCAUGUGUUGGAAUUAACUAUGUACGAGCCUUUCCAAUUAGAUGCUAACAUUGCAU
RNAcentral lists this long non-coding RNA (803 nucleotides) under Lathyrus oleraceus (garden pea). RNAcentral's name for it is "Pisum sativum (pea) long non-coding RNA (PSAT_LNC002165)". Lineage: Eukaryota; Viridiplantae; Streptophyta; Magnoliopsida; Fabales; Fabaceae. The record is from RNAcentral.